Molecule: transfer RNA, 77 nt
Filed under: Deltaproteobacteria bacterium RIFOXYA12_FULL_61_11
Lineage: Bacteria; Deltaproteobacteria
Description: tRNA-Asp
Rfam family: tRNA
About the family: Transfer RNA (tRNA) molecules are approximately 80 nucleotides in length. Their secondary structure includes four short double-helical elements and three loops (D, anti-codon, and T loops).
Source: RNAcentral
GGGGGCGUAGUUAAGCUGGUUAUAACGCCGGCCUGUCACGCCGGAGGCCGCGAGUUCGAAUCUCGUCGCUCCCGUCA